GUGAAUCAUCGAAUCUUUGAACGCAAAUUGCACUCUCCUCGGAGAGUAUGCCUGUUUGAGGGUCAGCCUAUAAAAAAUCGACAUCGUUGCUGUUUCGCGGUGGCGUUCGUCGGAAAUUGGGUCAUCUUAAACCUUUGGGUUUUAAGCGGCUUAAAAUUUUCUUUACGAUUCAACAACGGUUUCUAGAUUCUUAACUCUUUAACGGU
RNAcentral lists this unclassified non-coding RNA (206 nucleotides) under Glomus sp. RNAcentral's name for it is "partial contains 5.8S ribosomal RNA and internal transcribed spacer 2". The stretch from base 1 to 65 matches the Rfam family "5.8S ribosomal RNA", at positions 84 to 154 of the family's 154-position model. Lineage: Eukaryota; Fungi; Glomeromycota; Glomeromycetes; Glomerales; Glomeraceae. The record is from RNAcentral.